RNAcentral lists this small RNA (260 nucleotides) under Nomascus leucogenys (northern white-cheeked gibbon). Its description in RNAcentral is "Metazoan signal recognition particle RNA (ENSNLEG00000035727.1)". The stretch from base 1 to 116 matches the Rfam family "Metazoan signal recognition particle RNA". Lineage: Eukaryota; Metazoa; Chordata; Mammalia; Primates; Hylobatidae. The record is from RNAcentral.
GCCAGGUGUGGUGGCUCACACCUGUAAUCCCAGCUACUUAGGAGGCUGAGGUGGGAGAAUUACUUGAGUCCAGGAGUUGAGUCCAGCCUGGGCAACACAGUGAGAAUCCAUCUCUUUAAAAAAGUAAAAAAAAAAAAAAAAAAUGGCCAGGCACGGUGGCUCACACCUGUCAUCCCAGAACUUUGGGAGGCUAAGGUGGGAGGAUUUCUUGAGGCCAGGAGUUUGAGACAGCCUGGGCAAUAUAGUGAGAUCCCGUCUCU